UACGUAGGAUGCAAGCGUUGUCCGGAUUUAUUGGGUUUAAAGGGUGCGUAGGCGGUUUAAUAAGUCAGGGGUAAAAGUCAGCAGCUUAACUGUUGAAGUGCCUUUGAUACUGUUAGACUAGAGUAAUGAGGAGGUAGUUGGAAUUUGUAGUGUAGCGGUGAAAUGCAUAGAUACUACAAAGAACACCGAUAGCGAAGGCAGAUUACUAUCCAUUAACUGACGCUGAGGCACGAAAGUGUGGGGAUCAAACAGG
RNAcentral lists this ribosomal RNA (253 nucleotides) under uncultured bacterium. RNAcentral's name for it is "partial 16S ribosomal RNA". It matches the Rfam family "Bacterial small subunit ribosomal RNA", at positions 524 to 776 of the family's 1533-position model. The record is from RNAcentral.